AGUGAACGCUGGCGGUAGGCCUAACACAUGCAAGUCGAACGGCAGCACAGUAAGAGCUUGCUCUUACGGGUGGCGAGUGGCGGACGGGUGAGGAAUACAUCGGAAUCUACUUUUUCGUGGGGGAUAACGUAGGGAAACUUACGCUAAUACCGCAUACGACCUACGGGUGAAAGCAGGGGAUCUUCGGACCUUGCGCGAUUGAAUGAGCCGAUGUCGGAUUAGCUAGUUGGCGGGGUAAAGGCCCACCAGGGCGACGAUCCGUAGCUGGUCUGAGAGGAUGAUCAGCCACACUGGAACUGAGACACGGUCCAGACUCCUACGGGAGGCAGCAGUGGGGAAUAUUGGACAAUGGGCGCAAGCCUGAUCCAGCCAUACCGCGUGGGUGAAGAAGGCCUUCGGGUUGUAAAGCCCUUUUGUUGGGAAAGAAAAGCAGCAGGUUAAUACCCCGCUGUUCUGACGGUACCCAAGGAAUAAGCACCGGCUAACUUCGUG
Molecule: ribosomal RNA, 492 nt
Filed under: uncultured bacterium
Lineage: Bacteria
Description: partial 16S ribosomal RNA
Rfam family: Bacterial small subunit ribosomal RNA
Source: RNAcentral